GUCUUCCUGGGGUAAGACUGGAUUAGGGGACCCUGCUCGGUCAGUGGUCCUGGUGAUCGCCUAGAGAAAUAGAUCUAUUCUGCUGGGAUCUGGGAUUGAAUCCUAGGCAGAUUUGUGGGGAGUAGGAUGGUGAGAGGUGCUGGAAGGCACGGGUCCACUUCUUAACCUUCCUUUUAACUCUGUGCUGCAGGGUGGAAGCUUUAUAGUCAAUGUCCUCUCCAUCUCUGGCCACAUUCCCAGGACUCCUGAUCAUUAGAGUGACUGUUGUCCCAAGUGGACAUAAUUAUAAAUAGCUCCCUUCUUUUACUGAAAGUGUCCUACAGUGGACAAUAAUUUAGUCCCCUCCUCCAGUGGAAAAUAUACUACGCGCAUGCAAAAGCUCAGAGGGCUCCAGGAGUCGUCCCAACUCCCCUUUCUCAGUUCCUUGGGAUUUUUUUUUUUUUAAGUUUGUCCUCUACUAGAUCGCUUCUCAUUCACCAGGAUAUCUUAGAUCAAGGCUGGCGUUUGAAGCCUCUGCCUGAGUUCAAGCCCCUUUCUUCCUGUGUUCCUGUCCAAGCCCGCGGACUGGAAUCUCCCAAGGAAGUUAGGAAUAAUUCGGGGGGGUGGCGAAAUGGGGGGUGGAGUGGGGCGUGAAACUGCAGCCUUCACCUGGCUAACAGAAGAGGACUCAGGACGCCCAGCACCCUGGAUAGGACCCAACAGCGCUCCCUGGAGGUGUGGGUGCAAAGUUUUGUCUAGCUUGGCCUCCAAGGCCCUCCAGGCAAUGCACUGGGAAGGGAAGAAUUAGUGAUUAAAUUUGACCUGAGUCAAAAGA
Molecule: long non-coding RNA, 814 nt
Filed under: Pan troglodytes (chimpanzee)
Lineage: Eukaryota; Metazoa; Chordata; Mammalia; Primates; Hominidae
Description: lincRNA
Source: RNAcentral